UUUUCUGGCUCAGGAUGAACGCUGGCGGCGUGCCUAACACAUGCAAGUCGAACGAAGCUUGACGGAUGAUUUCUUCGGAAUGAAACCAGAUAUGACUUAGUGGCGGACGGGUGAGUAACACGUGAGCAACCUGCCUUUCAGAGGGGGAUAACGGCUGGAAACGGUCGCUAAUACCGCAUGAUGUGUUCGGAUGGCAUCAUCUGAACAUCAAAGAUUUAUCGCUGAAAGAUGGGCUCGCGUCUGAUUAGAUAGUUGGUGGGGUAACGGCCUACCAAGUCAACGAUCAGUAGCCGGACUGAGAGGUUGAACGGCCACAUUGGGACUGAGAUACGGCCCAGACUCCUACGGGAGGCAGCAGUGGGGAAUAUUGCACAAUGGGGGAAACCCUGAUGCAGCAACGCCGCGUGAAGGAUGACGGUUUUCGGAUUGUAAACUUCUUUUCUUAGUGACGAAGACAGUGACGGUAGCUAAGGAAUAAGCAUCGGCUAACUACGUGCCAGCAGCCGCGGUAAUACGUAGGAUGCAAGCGUUAUCCGGAUUUACUGGGUGUAAAGGGAGCGCAGGCGGGGCUGCAAGUUGGAUGUGAAAUACCGUGGCUUAACCACGGAACUGCAUCCAAAACUGUAGUUCUUGAGUGAAGUAGAGGCAAGCGGAAUUCCGAGUGUAGCGGUGAAAUGCGUAGAUAUUCGGAGGAACACCAGUGGCGAAGGCGGCUUGCUGGGCUUUAACUGACGCUGAGGCUCGAAAGUGUGGGGAGCAAACAGGAUUAGAUACCCUGGUAGUCCACACUGUAAACGAUGAUAGCUAGGUGUGGGGGGUCUGACCCCUUCCGUGCCGGAGUUAACGCAAUAAGCUAUCCACCUGGGGAGUACGACCGCAAGGUUGCAACUCAAAUGAAUUGACGG
This 905-nucleotide ribosomal RNA is filed under the name uncultured Bacteroidota bacterium. Its description in RNAcentral is "bacterial SSU rRNA". It matches the Rfam family "Bacterial small subunit ribosomal RNA", at positions 15 to 916 of the family's 1533-position model. The record is from RNAcentral. Lineage: Bacteria; Pseudomonadati; Bacteroidota.